GUCUAUGGCCAUGCCACCCUGAACAAGCCCGAUCCUGUCUGAUCUUGGAAGCUAAGCAGGGUCGGGCCUGGUUAGGACUUGGAUGGGAGACCACCUAGGAAGACCAGGUGCUGUAGGCG
This 119-nucleotide ribosomal RNA is filed under the name Pteropus alecto (black flying fox). The record is from RNAcentral. Lineage: Eukaryota; Metazoa; Chordata; Mammalia; Chiroptera; Pteropodidae.